Pelodiscus sinensis (Chinese soft-shelled turtle) is the source of this 762-nucleotide non-coding RNA. The record is from RefSeq and is a predicted model, not a curated record. Lineage: Eukaryota; Metazoa; Chordata; Testudines; Trionychidae.
GUCCUAGCUGCACAGGUACAGGCUCUAGCUGAAUUACAUUUGGUGCUUUGAUGCAGCUGUAAAUAUCAGCUCUGAGGCCCCAUUGUGUGUUGCAAGCUGUACAAAGAGGUGCUUGCGAUGGAAGACAAGAGGUGUAUGGGAAACAUCGUGCUGUACCUGCCCGCUUCCAUUGAGCUUGUUGAUGGGAAGAGUUUUCUCCAGGCUGUCCAGAAGAACCACCAAAAUCAGAUGAGCCAUCAAAGAACUUUGUACUACAAAGGCUAGGAAAAUGGCCCUAUCACAUGCUACAUGCAAGGCAGCUCAUUCUAUGGACUUGGAGGCUGAACUAAGGAAAUAAAAGGCCAACUAUACUCUACAGAUCCAGUCCUACAUUGGUACAACUGCAGCAAUCCAAAUUCCUGAACGACAAGGACACCAACCCAACACCCCAUAUAGACAGUGCUAAAUCAGCAGGAGAGCGUCUCCCCUUAAACACAGCUAUUGUCACUUGGGAAGGUGAUUAACUAUGCCACUGGGAGAAGCUCUCCUGUCAAUGCAGUGAAGUCUUCACAAAAGCUCUGCAGCAAAGCCUCUGUAGAGCUAUUCAGGUAGACAAGCCUAAGACACAUGAACAUUUUCCAUUUCUUUGCUGUCUGAACUCUGAGAUUCAGACACACUUAACUGAAGCUAGAGAACCCUGGAGGUGAUGAUGAAAAACAUUUUGAAUUGACAGAUCACUACAGUCUGUACAAGAGAAGUUUUAUAUUUAUAAAGUACAAUUCA